Molecule: long non-coding RNA, 651 nt
Organism: Drosophila montana
Lineage: Eukaryota; Metazoa; Arthropoda; Insecta; Diptera; Drosophilidae
Exons: 3
Source: RefSeq, a predicted model, not a curated record
UCUCCUUUUCGUGAAAAUUUAACUUCUACACAUAAUAAGUGAUUAUUAACCAAGCAAUUUUGUUGACUAUCAUGCAGAAAACUAUAUUCCCACAUAUAUAAAUUUGUAGAGUUUUUAAUAAUUUUAGGAGAAUUUUUUAAAGUUAAAGUUUUCUGAAAAGUGCUUGUGAGCUAAUGUAAAAUAUAACAAAAUGUUCUGUAUGUUAUAAGGGCAUCAAAAUGACAGUAAAUAGUGUAUUUAUGUAAAUCACGCGAAAGAACGUAUAUCAUAAGCAAACAUCUGCAUGUGUACAUACAAAUAUUAUAUCUAUACAUAAACAUAUCCGUAAAUAUGUAUACAUAAAAUCGGUGACUACAAAUAAAAGGAAAUGUCCAUGAGUAUUCUGACGCAUUCCAAUCUGGGUCAAGAGUGAUACAAGUUGAGUUAUGUAUGAAUACACUACAAAAUACUUGCCAAGAGUCUGGCAAUAAUUGGACAAAUAUAAAAACGGAAUUUACAAAGAAAUUAGUUUAUGAAUAUUGUGCAAAUUAAAAUACAAAAAAUAAGUACGAAAAGAAUUUGUGCGUAAAUAUAAAACAGUUUGUGGGUAACGUUGCGCAUGAUAGCAAUAAAAACUAAUUCACAAAAUAAAAAAAAACGAUGACACUCGCA